Molecule: long non-coding RNA, 705 nt
Filed under: Mytilus galloprovincialis (Mediterranean mussel)
Lineage: Eukaryota; Metazoa; Mollusca; Bivalvia; Mytilida; Mytilidae
Source: RNAcentral
CGGCAAAAUUGCCUUUCACGAACGCGCACCUGAUAUCGAUAUCAGUAGCGUAGCUAGGCUAUUUUUAAGUGUACGCCCCAACCUCGGCGAGGGGUUUGGGAGCUCCAAUCGGACCAAGGUUAUAACAUCUUCUAGUAGUGGGUUCGAGGGGGAGGUGUCAUUAAAAACUAAUCAAUAGUAAGUUGAACAUACCUUAUAGAUUACUUUUUUUUUAUUUUUUUUUAUCUUUUAUGUUCAAUGUAUGCAUUGUGUUGAUUUGAAAUCUAAUGGUCAAUGGUGUUAGAAAAAAAAUACAAACCAUGCAGUUACUUUAAAAUAUGUUUAAAAGGAACCGUGGGGUAAUAUAUAGCAAUUACUCGACUAAAACCCCUUUUUGUGCAAAAGUCGUUAAUGGAUAUGAAUUUAUUAAUUUGCAUAGAUGUUUAGGUGCAUUAUGAAAAUUCGUAAACGGUUCCAUGGAACCGUGGUUCUCGCUAGAUUACCGCUUCCCUCGAAAAUUGAUUCCUUUUAUCAGUCCAUUACAGGAUUUUAAAUAAUCAAACAUUUUCUUUAGAUUUUUUUUCUUGAUCUGGACUAUUAAUUUCUACCCAAGUAUCAUGACAAUAUCUGAAGGUUUUCCAAAUGAUCAUGUAAAAAAAUUAUAAUCACAGAGCGUCUGUUAACUGCUAAAGAUAAGUCCGUAUGUCAAUUGAAAAAUGAAAAAAA